CGUGCAUUGAACCAAAGAUAAUUCCCAUGUCAAACGAAAGGAAAAAUCUCAUUACUAAUGAUGCAUAAUCGACUACGAAACUUAGUAGCAAGUGGAAAUUUAAGCAAAUUUGAGCCGGCUUCAAAUAUGUCAUUGAUGAUUUGGGAUAAUGAGUUAGCAUACUUGGCUGAAUUGAAUGUCAAACAGUGCCAAAUGGAACACGAUGCUUGUCGUAGUACAGCCCAAUUCAAGUAUGCUGGACAGAAUUUGGCUUUUUCUUGGACAAGUGGGUCUUUGAAAAA
Molecule: long non-coding RNA, 281 nt
Organism: Aedes aegypti (yellow fever mosquito)
Lineage: Eukaryota; Metazoa; Arthropoda; Insecta; Diptera; Culicidae
Exons: 3
Source: RefSeq, a predicted model, not a curated record